GGUCCGUUGGUCAAGGGGUUAAGACACCGCCUUUUCACGGCGGUACACGGGUUCGAAUCCCGUACGGACUA
RNAcentral lists this transfer RNA (71 nucleotides) under Streptococcus pneumoniae. Its description in RNAcentral is "tRNA-Glu(ttc)". It matches the Rfam family "tRNA". Rfam says of the family: Transfer RNA (tRNA) molecules are approximately 80 nucleotides in length. Their secondary structure includes four short double-helical elements and three loops (D, anti-codon, and T loops). Lineage: Bacteria; Bacillati; Bacillota; Bacilli; Lactobacillales; Streptococcaceae. The record is from RNAcentral.